RNAcentral lists this ribosomal RNA (2341 nucleotides) under Staphylococcus aureus 110802495. Its description in RNAcentral is "bacterial LSU rRNA". It matches the Rfam family "Bacterial large subunit ribosomal RNA", at positions 3 to 2342 of the family's 2925-position model. Lineage: Bacteria; Bacillati; Bacillota; Bacilli; Caryophanales; Staphylococcaceae. The record is from RNAcentral.
UUAAGUUAUUAAGGGCGCACGGUGGAUGCCUUGGCACUAGAAGCCGAUGAAGGACGUUACUAACGACGAUAUGCUUUGGGGAGCUGUAAGUAAGCUUUGAUCCAGAGAUUUCCGAAUGGGGAAACCCAGCAUGAGUUAUGUCAUGUUAUCGAUAUGUGAAUACAUAGCAUAUCAGAAGGCACACCCGGAGAACUGAAACAUCUUAGUACCCGGAGGAAGAGAAAGAAAAUUCGAUUCCCUUAGUAGCGGCGAGCGAAACGGGAAGAGCCCAAACCAACAAGCUUGCUUGUUGGGGUUGUAGGACACUCUAUACGGAGUUACAAAGGACGACAUUAGACGAAUCAUCUGGAAAGAUGAAUCAAAGAAGGUAAUAAUCCUGUAGUCGAAAAUGUUGUCUCUCUUGAGUGGAUCCUGAGUACGACGGAGCACGUGAAAUUCCGUUGGAAUCUGGGAGGACCAUCUCCUAAGGCUAAAUACUCUCUAGUGACCGAUAGUGAACCAGUACCGUGAGGGAAAGGUGAAAAGCACCCCGGAAGGGGAGUGAAAUAGAACCUGAAACCGUGUGCUUACAAGUAGUCAGAGCCCGUUAAUGGGUGAUGGCGUGCCUUUUGUAGAAUGAACCGGCGAGUUACGAUUUGAUGCAAGGUUAAGCAGUAAAUGUGGAGCCGUAGCGAAAGCGAGUCUGAAUAGGGCGUUUAGUAUUUGGUCGUAGACCCGAAACCAGGUGAUCUACCCUUGGUCAGGUUGAAGUUCAGGUAACACUGAAUGGAGGACCGAACCGACUUACGUUGAAAAGUGAGCGGAUGAACUGAGGGUAGCGGAGAAAUUCCAAUCGAACCUGGAGAUAGCUGGUUCUCUCCGAAAUAGCUUUAGGGCUAGCCUCAAGUGAUGAUUAUUGGAGGUAGAGCACUGUUUGGACGAGGGGCCCCUCUCGGGUUACCGAAUUCAGACAAACUCCGAAUGCCAAUUAAUUUAACUUGGGAGUCAGAACAUGGGUGAUAAGGUCCGUGUUCGAAAGGGAAACAGCCCAGACCACCAGCUAAGGUCCCAAAAUAUAUGUUAAGUGGAAAAGGAUGUGGCGUUGCCCAGACAACUAGGAUGUUGGCUUAGAAGCAGCCAUCAUUUAAAGAGUGCGUAAUAGCUCACUAGUCGAGUGACACUGCGCCGAAAAUGUACCGGGGCUAAACAUAUUACCGAAGCUGUGGAUUGUCCUUUGGACAAUGGUAGGAGAGCGUUCUAAGGGCGUUGAAGCAUGAUCGUAAGGACAUGUGGAGCGCUUAGAAGUGAGAAUGCCGGUGUGAGUAGCGAAAGACGGGUGAGAAUCCCGUCCACCGAUUGACUAAGGUUUCCAGAGGAAGGCUCGUCCGCUCUGGGUUAGUCGGGUCCUAAGCUGAGGCCGACAGGCGUAGGCGAUGGAUAACAGGUUGAUAUUCCUGUACCACCUAUAAUCGUUUUAAUCGAUGGGGGGACGCAGUAGGAUAGGCGAAGCGUGCGAUUGGAUUGCACGUCUAAGCAGUAAGGCUGAGUAUUAGGCAAAUCCGGUACUCAUUAAGGCUGAGCUGUGAUGGGGAGAAGACAUUGUGUCUUCGAGUCGUUGAUUUCACACUGCCGAGAAAAGCCUCUAGAUAGAAAAUAGGUGCCCGUACCGCAAACCGACACAGGUAGUCAAGAUGAGAAUUCUAAGGUGAGCGAGCGAACUCUCGUUAAGGAACUCGGCAAAAUGACCCCGUAACUUCGGGAGAAGGGGUGCUCUUUAGGGUUAACGCCCAGAAGAGCCGCAGUGAAUAGGCCCAAGCGACUGUUUAUCAAAAACACAGGUCUCUGCUAAACCGUAAGGUGAUGUAUAGGGGCUGACGCCUGCCCGGUGCUGGAAGGUUAAGAGGAGUGGUUAGCUUCUGCGAAGCUACGAAUCGAAGCCCCAGUAAACGGCGGCCGUAACUAUAACGGUCCUAAGGUAGCGAAAUUCCUUGUCGGGUAAGUUCCGACCCGCACGAAAGGCGUAACGAUUUGGGCACUGUCUCAACGAGAGACUCGGUGAAAUCAUAGUACCUGUGAAGAUGCAGGUUACCCGCGACAGGACGGAAAGACCCCGUGGAGCUUUACUGUAGCCUGAUAUUGAAAUUCGGCACAGCUUGUACAGGAUAGGUAGGAGCCUUUGAAACGUGAGCGCUAGCUUACGUGGAGGCGCUGGUGGGAUACUACCCUAGCUGUGUUGGCUUUCUAACCCGCACCACUUAUCGUGGUGGGAGACAGUGUCAGGCGGGCAGUUUGACUGGGGCGGUCGCCUCCUAAAAGGUAACGGAGGCGCUCAAAGGUUCCCUCAGAAUGGUUGGAAAUCAUU